AACGGCGAGUGAAGCGGUAACAGCUCAAAUUUGAAAUCUGGCCUCACGGUCCGAGUUGUAAUUUGUAGAGGAUGCUUCGAGCAUGGUCUGGCCUAAGUUCCUUGGAACAGGACGUCAUAGAGGGUGAGAAUCCCGUAUGCGGCCAGGUGCCUACGCUCAUGUGAAGCUCCUUCGACGAGUCGAGUUGUUUGGGAAUGCAGCUCAAAAUGGGUGGUAAAUUUCAUCUAAAGCUAAAUAUUGGCCAGAGACCGAUAGCGCACAAGUAGAGUGAUCGAAAGAUGAAAAGCACUUUGGAAAGAGAGUUAAACAGUACGUGAAAUUGUUGAAAGGGAAGCGCUUGCAACCAGACUUGCGCGCGGCCGAUCAUCCGGUGUUCUCACCGGUGCACUCGGCCGUGCUCAGGCCAGCAUCGGUUUUGGCGGCUGGAUAAAGGCCCUAGGAAUGUGGCUCCUCUCGGGGAGUGUUAUAGCCUAGGGUGCAAUGCAGCCUGCUGGGACCGAGGACCGCGCUUCGGCUAGGAUGCUGGCGUAAUGGUUGUAAGCGGCCCGUCUUGAAACACGGACCAAGGAGUCUAACAUCUAUGCGAGUGUUUGGGUGUCAAACCCAUACGCGUAAUGAAAGUGAACGGAGGUGAGAACCCUUAAGGGUGCAUCAUCGACCGGUCCUGAAGUUUACGGAAGGAUCUGAGUAAGAGCAUAGCUGUUGGGACCCGAAAGAUGGUGAACUAUGCCUGAAUAGGGUGAAGCCAGAGGAAACUCUGGUGGAGGCUCGCAGCGGUUCUGACGUGCAAAUCGAUCGUCAAAUUU
This 806-nucleotide ribosomal RNA is filed under the name Pseudogymnoascus pannorum. RNAcentral describes it as "eukaryotic LSU rRNA". It matches the Rfam family "Eukaryotic large subunit ribosomal RNA", at positions 85 to 912 of the family's 3401-position model. Lineage: Eukaryota; Fungi; Ascomycota; Leotiomycetes; Thelebolales; Thelebolaceae. The record is from RNAcentral.